GACGAACGCUGGCGGCGUGCUUAACACAUGCAAGUCGAACGGGAACCUUUAUUUCGGUAAAGGUGAGAGUGGCAAACGGGUGAGUAACACGUAGGCAACCUGCCGACAGGAUGGGGACAACAUUCCGAAAGGAAUGCUAAUACCGAAUGAAGUCACCGGAGGGCAUCCUCUGGUGAUAAAAGAUGGCCUCUGAAUAUGCUAUCGCCUGUCGAUGGGCCUGCGUCUGAUUAGCCAGUUGGCGGGGUAACGGCCCACCAAAGCGACGAUCAGUAGCCGGUCUGAGAGGAUGAACGGCCACAUUGGGACUGAGACACGGCCCAGACUCCUACGGGAGGCAGCAGUGGGGAAUCUUCCACAAUGGGCGAAAGCCUGAUGGAGCAACGCCGCGUGAGUGAAGAAGGUCUUCGGAUCGUAAAGCUCUGUUGCACGGGACGAAAACCGAG
This 443-nucleotide ribosomal RNA is filed under the name Selenomonas sputigena. Its description in RNAcentral is "bacterial SSU rRNA". It matches the Rfam family "Bacterial small subunit ribosomal RNA", at positions 28 to 456 of the family's 1533-position model. Lineage: Bacteria; Bacillati; Bacillota; Negativicutes; Selenomonadales; Selenomonadaceae. The record is from RNAcentral.